UACGGGGGGGGCAAGCGUUGUUCGGAAUUACUGGGCGUAAAGGGCUCGUAGGCGGCCAACUAAGUCAGACGUGAAAUCCCUCGGCUUAACCGGGGAACUGCGUCUGAUACUGGAUGGCUGGAGGUUGGGAGAGGGAUGCGGAAUUCCAGGUGUAGCGGUGAAAUGCGUAGAUAUCUGGAGGAACACCGGUGGCGAAGGCGGCAUCCCGGACCAAUUCUGACGCUGAGGAGCGAAAGCCAGGGGAGCAAACGGG
Molecule: ribosomal RNA, 253 nt
Filed under: uncultured bacterium
Lineage: Bacteria
Description: partial 16S ribosomal RNA
Rfam family: Bacterial small subunit ribosomal RNA
Source: RNAcentral